Molecule: ribosomal RNA, 575 nt
Filed under: uncultured bacterium
Lineage: Bacteria
Description: bacterial SSU rRNA
Rfam family: Bacterial small subunit ribosomal RNA
Source: RNAcentral
ACCGUGGCGACGAUGCGUAGGGGUUCUGAGAGGAAGGUCCCCCACACUGGUACUGAGACACGGACCAGACUCCUACGGGAGGCAGCAGUGAGGAAUAUUGGUCAAUGGGAGAGAUCCUGAACCAGCCAAGCCGCGUGAGGGAAGACGGCCCUAUGGGUUGUAAACCUCUUUUGUCGGAGAACAAAACCCGGGACGUGUCCCGGACUGCGUGUAUCCGAAGAAAAAGCAUCGGCUAACUCCGUGCCAGCAGCCGCGGUAAUACGGAGGAUGCGAGCGUUAUCCGGAUUUAUUGGGUUUAAAGGGUGCGUAGGCGGUCCGUUAAGUCAGCGGUAAAAUUGCGGGGCUCAACCCCGUCGAGCCGUUGAAACUGGCAGACUUGAGUUGGCGAGAAGUACGCGGAAUGCGCGGUGUAGCGGUGAAAUGCAUAGAUAUCGCGCAGAACUCCGAUUGCGAAGGCAGCGUACCGGCGCCAGACUGACGCUGAGGCACGAAAGCGUGGGGAUCGAACAGGAUUAGAUACCCUGGUAGUCCACGCAGUAAACGAUGAAUGCUGGUUGUCCGGGUCGAAUGAGACC